GACGAACGCUGGCGGCGUGCUUAACACAUGCAAGUCGAACGGAAAGGCCCUGCUUUUGUGGGGUGCUCGAGUGGCGAACGGGUGAGUAACACGUGAGUAACCUGCCCUUGACUUUGGGAUAACUUCAGGAAACUGGGGCUAAUACCGGAUAGGAGCUCCUGCUGCAUGGUGGGGGUUGGAAAGUUUCGGCGGUUGGGAUGGUCCUGCGGCUUAUCAGCUUGUUGGGGUGGUAGUGGCUUAACAAGGCUUUGACGGGUCGGCGGCCUGAGAGGGUAACCGGCCCCAUUGGGACUGCGAUACGGCCCAGACUCCUACGGGAGGCAGCAGGGGGGAAUAUUGCACAAUGGGCGGAAGCCUGAGGCAGCAACGCCGCGUGCGGGAUGAAGGCCUUCGGGUUGUAAACCGCUUUAGCCUGUGACGAAGCGUGAGUGACGGUAAUGGGUAAAGAAGCACCGGCUAACUACGUG
RNAcentral lists this ribosomal RNA (467 nucleotides) under uncultured bacterium. Its description in RNAcentral is "partial 16S ribosomal RNA". It matches the Rfam family "Bacterial small subunit ribosomal RNA", at positions 28 to 507 of the family's 1533-position model. The record is from RNAcentral.